AACGCACAUUGCGCCCUUUGGUAUUCCUUAGGGCAUGCCUGUUCGAGCGUCAUUUAAACCUUCAAGCUCAGCUUGGUGAUGGGUGACUGUCCUCCCCUCGCGGGGGGACUCGCCUCAAAAACAUUGGCGGCCGGUACAUUGGCUUCGAGCGCAGCAGAAACGCGGUCUCGAGCCCGGUGGAUCGGCUCCCAUAAGUCUAUUCUUUUAUUUUGACCUCGGAUCAGGUAGGGAUACCCGCUGAACUUAA
Molecule: unclassified non-coding RNA, 247 nt
Filed under: uncultured Preussia
Lineage: Eukaryota; Fungi; Ascomycota; Dothideomycetes; Pleosporales; Sporormiaceae
Description: sequence contains ITS2
Source: RNAcentral